UACGUAGGUGGCAAGCGUUGUCCGGAUUUACUGGGCGUAAAGGGAGCGUAGGCGGAUACUUAAGUGGGAUGUGAAAUACCUGGGCUUAACUUGGGUGCUGCAUUCCAAACUGGGUGUCUAGAGUGUUGGAGAGGAAAGUGGAAUUCCUAGUGUAGCGGUGAAAUGCGUAGAGAUUAGGAAGAACACCAGUGGCGAAGGCGACUUUCUGGACAAUAACUGACGCUGAGGCUCGAAAGCGUGGGGAGCAAACAGGAUUAGAUACCCUGGUAGUCCACGCCGUAAACGAUGGGUACUAGGUGUAGGAGGUAUAGAAUCCUCCUGUGCCGCCGUUAACACAAUAAGUACCCCGCCUGGGGAGUACGGUCGCAAGAUUAAA
RNAcentral lists this ribosomal RNA (376 nucleotides) under uncultured bacterium. RNAcentral's name for it is "bacterial SSU rRNA". It matches the Rfam family "Bacterial small subunit ribosomal RNA", at positions 524 to 898 of the family's 1533-position model. The record is from RNAcentral.